AUAUUAAUAAGCGGAGGAAAAGAAACUAACAAGGAUUUCCUUAGUAGUGGCGAACGAAACGGGAAGAGUCCAUUCCUGGAAUCCGUAAGGAGUUGUGGAGUGGGGCACCGCGGCAUGAGUUUGUGGUUUUGGGGCAAGUUUCCUUGAAAGGAGCCUUGUAGAGGGUGAUAAGCCCGUGGUCCCUUGACUGCUUAUUUGCGGCGCGAGUGCUUGGAGUCGGGCUGUUUGGGAAUGCAGCCUGAAGUGGGUGGUAGACACCAUCUGAGACUAAAUAUUGGCACGAGACCGAUAGCGCACAAGUA
This 302-nucleotide ribosomal RNA is filed under the name uncultured eukaryote. RNAcentral describes it as "partial large subunit ribosomal RNA". It matches the Rfam family "Eukaryotic large subunit ribosomal RNA", at positions 40 to 350 of the family's 3401-position model. The record is from RNAcentral.